This 112-nucleotide ribosomal RNA is filed under the name Klebsiella pneumoniae MRSN 3562. Its description in RNAcentral is "partial 16S ribosomal RNA". It matches the Rfam family "Bacterial small subunit ribosomal RNA", at positions 1 to 103 of the family's 1533-position model. Lineage: Bacteria; Pseudomonadati; Pseudomonadota; Gammaproteobacteria; Enterobacterales; Enterobacteriaceae. The record is from RNAcentral.
ACUUAAAUUGAAGAGUUUGAUCAUGGCUCAGAUUGAACGCUGGCGGCAGGCCUAACACAUGCAAGUCGAGCGGUAGCACAGAGAGCUUGCUCUCGGGUGACGAGCGGCGGAC